GAUGAACGCUAGCGGCAGGCCUAACACAUGCAAGUCGAGGGGCAUCGCGGUGCAGCAAUGCACUGGCAGCGACCGGCGUACGGGUGCGUAACGCGUAUGCAACCUGCCCCGCACCGGGGAUAGCCCGCCGAAAGGCGGAUUAAUACCCCAUGGUCCCGGGGGCCCGCAUGGGCAUCCGGGUAAAGCCUUGGCGGUGCGGGAUGGGCGUGCGUGCCAUUAGCUGGCUGGUGGGGUAACGGCCCACCAGGGCAACGAUGGCUAGGGGGUCUGAGAGGAUGGUCCCCCACACUGGUACUGAGACACGGACCAGACUCCUACGGGAGGCAGCAGUGAGGAAUAUUGGUCAAUGGGCGGAAGCCUGAACCAGCCAUGCCGCGUGCGGGAUGAAGGCCCUACGGGUUGUAAACCGCUUUUCCCCGGGAAGAAUAAGCCCCCCGCGGGGGGUGAUGCCGGUACCGGGGGAAUAAGGAUCGGCUAACUCCGUG
This 485-nucleotide ribosomal RNA is filed under the name uncultured bacterium. RNAcentral's name for it is "bacterial SSU rRNA". It matches the Rfam family "Bacterial small subunit ribosomal RNA", at positions 28 to 507 of the family's 1533-position model. The record is from RNAcentral.